RNAcentral lists this unclassified non-coding RNA (342 nucleotides) under Hevea brasiliensis (rubber tree). The record is from RNAcentral. Lineage: Eukaryota; Viridiplantae; Streptophyta; Magnoliopsida; Malpighiales; Euphorbiaceae.
GGGGUCUGCUCGACAAAUCAAAGGAGCAGAUUGGCGAGAGCACCCAUCGAGACAACGAGACUGAGUCCUCCGGUUCAGGGUUUGGCUUCAAGUCCUUCUUGAAAGAGACUGUAAAGAGGUCAGUCCAUGAUGCUGCAGAAUCACGGGGUAUCCAUUUCCCUCACGAAGGCGGUCACCACCACGGUCGCCAUUCCCGAGUCGAGGAUGAAGAAGAAGAAGAAGCAGGGGACGGUCACACGAAGAACCGCUCCCUCCCUCUCUCAACCCUGAUCGAGAUCCUGAAGCAGAAGACCGGGAAGGAAGACAUAGAUGUCGGAAAGCUGAGGCCGACCCUGUUCGACA